RNAcentral lists this ribosomal RNA (279 nucleotides) under uncultured bacterium. Its description in RNAcentral is "partial 16S ribosomal RNA". It matches the Rfam family "Bacterial small subunit ribosomal RNA", at positions 506 to 784 of the family's 1533-position model. The record is from RNAcentral.
UGCCAGCAGCCGCGGUAAUACAGAGGGGGCAAGCGUUAUCCGGAAUUAUUGGGCGUAAAGUAUGCGUAGGCGGCUUUGUAAGUCAGAAGUGAAAUGCCAUGGCUCAACCAUGGAGCUGCUUUUGAAACUGCAUCGCUAGAGUUAGGUAGAGGAUAGUGGAAUUCCUAGUGUAGAGGUGGAAUUCGUAGAUAUUAGGAGGAACACCAGUGGCGAAGGCGACUAUCUGGGCCUAUACUAACGCUGAGGCACGAAAGUGUGGGGAGCAAACAGGAUUAGAUA